Molecule: long non-coding RNA, 210 nt
Organism: Galeopterus variegatus (Sunda flying lemur)
Lineage: Eukaryota; Metazoa; Chordata; Mammalia; Dermoptera; Cynocephalidae
Exons: 3
Source: RefSeq, a predicted model, not a curated record
UGUUCCAUUGGCAAGCUACAAUAAUGGGGCCAAAUGACAGUCCCUAUCAGGGUGGAGUAUUUUUCUUGACAAUUCAUUUUCCAACAGAUUAUCCCUUCAAACCACCUAAGGUUGCAUUUACAACAAGAAUUUAUCAUCCAAAUAUUAACAGUAAUGGCAGCAUUUGUCUUGACAUUUUACGGUCACAGUGGUCUCCAGCACUAACUAUUU